UACAGAGGUCUCAAGCGUUGUUCGGAUUCAUUGGGCGUAAAGGGUGCGUAGGCGGCGCGGUCAGUCGGGUGUGAAAUUUCGGAGCUUAACUCCGAAACGGCAUUCGAUACUGCGGUGCUUGAGGACUGGAGAGGAGACUGGAAUUCAUGGUGUAGCAGUGAAAUGCGUAGAGAUCAUGAGGAAGACCAGUGGCGAAGGCGGAUCGCUGGACAGUUCCUGACACUGAGGCACGAAGGCCAGGGGAGCAAACGGG
This 253-nucleotide ribosomal RNA is filed under the name uncultured bacterium. RNAcentral's name for it is "partial 16S ribosomal RNA". It matches the Rfam family "Bacterial small subunit ribosomal RNA", at positions 524 to 776 of the family's 1533-position model. The record is from RNAcentral.